RNAcentral lists this ribosomal RNA (421 nucleotides) under uncultured bacterium. Its description in RNAcentral is "bacterial SSU rRNA". It matches the Rfam family "Bacterial small subunit ribosomal RNA", at positions 917 to 1341 of the family's 1533-position model. The record is from RNAcentral.
GGGCCCGCACAAGCGGUGGAGCAUGUGGUUUAAUUCGAUGAUACGCGAGGAACCUUACCAGGGCUUAAAUGUAGUGGGACAGGUCUAGAGAUAGACCCUUCUUCGGACUCAUUACAAGGUGCUGCAUGGUUGUCGUCAGCUCGUGCCGUGAGGUGUCAGGUUAAGUCCUAUAACGAGCGCAACCCCUAUCGUUAGUUGCCAGCGGGUCAUGCCGGGAACUCUAGCGAAACUGCCGGUGCAAACCGAGAGGAAGGUGGGGAUGACGUCAAAUCAUCACGGCCCUUACGUCCUGGGCCACACACGUGCUACAAUGGCCGGUACAGAGAGCAGCCACUACGCGAGUAGGAGCGAAUCUACAAAACCGGUCUCAGUUCGGAUCGCAGUCUGCAACUCGACUGCGUGAAGCUGGAAUCGCUAGUAA